RNAcentral lists this unclassified non-coding RNA (470 nucleotides) under Citharexylum altamiranum. Its description in RNAcentral is "partial external transcribed spacer". Lineage: Eukaryota; Viridiplantae; Streptophyta; Magnoliopsida; Lamiales; Verbenaceae. The record is from RNAcentral.
UACUGGCAGGAUCAACCAGGUAGCAUUCCUCAUCGACGCCGGACGCCGCAUGAGCCAAGCCGCGAGGGACUUGGCCAAAACGGGAACGGCCGUCGUCCGCAUGAAGCGUGGAACGCUUGUUUUCGGGGCAAGAUAGAGGUCGGCGACCUCGUACCCAUUCGGUCUUCCGCAUCCGAGAGAUCGAGCGCAGCGCCGUGUGCCGACAACCAAGGCACGCGUAGAGGCAUGCAGGUCGCGGAGCACAACGAGUGCUUCGAUGUCCACCCCGCACCGCAACCCCGAGAGGCGCAGCACAGGGAGGAAACGUGACAUUUUUGUAACAGCAUGCCUUCGCGAUGGGUAUGCAGCACAGGAAACCGACACCGGUCAAGGCGAACUCGCAACUUGGGCCAACCAUUGAAGAGGCGAUGAACGGGGUGCCGUCGCUGCCCGAGCAGGGGAACCCGACACGCCCCAUACAAGCCAAAUCA